Molecule: ribosomal RNA, 666 nt
Filed under: uncultured bacterium
Lineage: Bacteria
Description: bacterial SSU rRNA
Rfam family: Bacterial small subunit ribosomal RNA
Source: RNAcentral
ACGGAGCUUAGAGAGCUUGCUUUUUAAGCUUAGUGGCGAACGGGUGAGUAACGCGUGAGUAACCUGCCCUAGAGUGGGGGACAACAGUUGGAAACGACUGCUAAUACCGCAUAAGCCCACGGUACCGCAUGGCACUGAGGGAAAAGGAUUUAUUCGCUUUAGGAUGGACUCGCGUCCAAUUAGCUAGUUGGUGAGGUAACGGCCCACCAAGGCGACGAUUGGUAGCCGGACUGAGAGGUUGAACGGCCACAUUGGGACUGAGACACGGCCCAGACUCCUACGGGAGGCAGCAGUGGGGGAUAUUGCACAAUGGGGGAAACCCUGAUGCAGCGACGCCGCGUGGAGGAAGAAGGUUUUCGGAUUGUAAACUCCUGUCGUUAGGGACGAUAAUGACGGUACCUAACAAGAAAGCACCGGCUAACUACGUGCCAGCAGCCGCGGUAAAACGUAGGGUGCAAGCGUUGUCCGGAAUUACUGGGUGUAAAGGGAGCGCAGGCGGGAAGACAAGUUGGAAGUGAAAACCAUGGGCUCAACCCAUGAAUUGCUUUCAAAACUGUUUUUCUUGAGUAGUGCAGAGGUAGAUGGAAUUCCCGGUGUAGCGGUGGAAUGCGUAGAUAUCGGGAGGAACACCAGUGGCGAAGGCGGUCUACUGGGCACCAACUGACG